AAUUUCUUUCUGCUAGUCAUCGGCCGCGAGUUCCAGAGCCAUAGCGCCUAGAAUUGGUCGAUAUCCAGAUGCGUGCUGGGCGAGCUUGUUGGCAUCCUCGUUGUGAUCCCUUGGGAUGUGCUCGAUUACUGCCGAUUUAAAUUCUUUUAAGAGCUGCAGGCAAUCUUCGUAAUAAAUUCUUAAUACAUCGUCCUUGCAUUCAGACCUCCCCGUUAAUUGAUCCACAAUAAGCAUGGAAUCUCC
This 243-nucleotide long non-coding RNA is filed under the name Setaria italica (foxtail millet). Its description in RNAcentral is "long non-coding RNA (SITA_LNC000316)". Lineage: Eukaryota; Viridiplantae; Streptophyta; Magnoliopsida; Poales; Poaceae. The record is from RNAcentral.